Molecule: ribosomal RNA, 445 nt
Filed under: uncultured bacterium
Lineage: Bacteria
Description: partial 16S ribosomal RNA
Rfam family: Bacterial small subunit ribosomal RNA
Source: RNAcentral
GUGAGGAAUAUUGGUCAAUGGGCGGGAGCCUGAACCAGCCAAGUCGCGUGAAGGAAGAAGGAUCUAUGGUUCGUAAACUUCUUUUGCAGGGGAAUAAAGUGCAGGACGUGUCCUGUUUUGUAUGUACCCUGAGAAUAAGGAUCGGCUAACUCCGUGCCAGCAGCCGCGGUAAUACGGAGGAUCCGAGCGUUAUCCGGAUUUAUUGGGUUUAAAGGGUGCGUAGGUGGUUUGAUAAGUCAGCGGUGAAAGUUUGCAGCUUAACUGUAAAAAUGCCGUUGAAACUGUCGGACUUGAGUGUAAAGUAGGUAGGCGGAAUGCGUGGUGUAGCGGUGAAAUGCAUAGAUAUCACGCAGAACUCCGAUUGCGAAGGCAGCUUACUAAGCUACAACUGACACUGAAGCGCGAAAGCGUGGGGAUCAAACAGGAUUAGAAACCCCAGUAGUCC